GUGGGUAUAGCUCAGUGGUAGAACACGUGCUUAGCACACAUGAGGUCCUGGGUUCAAUCCCCAGUACCUCCA
This 72-nucleotide transfer RNA is filed under the name Camelus bactrianus (Bactrian camel). It matches the Rfam family "tRNA". Rfam says of the family: Transfer RNA (tRNA) molecules are approximately 80 nucleotides in length. Their secondary structure includes four short double-helical elements and three loops (D, anti-codon, and T loops). Lineage: Eukaryota; Metazoa; Chordata; Mammalia; Artiodactyla; Camelidae. RNAcentral also lists the same sequence under 3 other names. The record is from Rfam by way of RNAcentral.